AUUGAACGCUGGCGGCAUGCUUUACACAUGCAAGUCGAACGGUAACAGGUUAAGCUGACGAGUGGCGAACGGGUGAGUAAUGCAUCGGAACGUGCCCGAUCGUGGGGGAUAACGCAGCGAAAGCUGCGCUAAUACCGCAUACGAUCUGAAGAUGAAAACGGGGGACCGUAAGGCCUCGCGCGGUCGGAGCGGCCGAUGUCAGAUUAGGUAGUUGGUGGGGUAAAGGCCCACCAAGCCGACGAUCUGUAGCUGGUCUGAGAGGACGACCAGCCACACUGGGACGAAGACACGGCCCAGACUCCUACGGGAGGCAGCAGUGGGGAAUUGUGGACAAUGGGCGAAAGCCUGAUCCAGCAAUGCCGCGUGCAGGAAGAAGGCCUUCGUGUUGUAAACUGCUUUUGUACGGAGCGAAAAGGUCCUUUCUAAUACAAGGGGCUCAUGACGGUACCGUAAGAAUAAGCACCGGCUACUACGUGCCAGCCGCCGCCGUAA
RNAcentral lists this ribosomal RNA (492 nucleotides) under uncultured bacterium. Its description in RNAcentral is "partial 16S ribosomal RNA". It matches the Rfam family "Bacterial small subunit ribosomal RNA", at positions 30 to 523 of the family's 1533-position model. The record is from RNAcentral.